AGUGAACGCUGGCGGCAGGCCUAACACAUGCAAGUCGAGCGGCAGCGCGGGGGCAACCCUGGCGGCGAGCGGCGGACGGGUGAGGAAUUCGUCGGAAUCUGCCUUUUUGUGGGGGAUAACGUAGGGAAACUUACGCUAAUACCGCAUACGUCCUACGGGAGAAAGUGGGGGACCGCAAGGCCUCACGCAGAAAGAUGAGCCGACGACCGAUUAGCUAGUUGGUGGGGUAAAGGCCCACCAAGGCGACGAUCGGUAGCUGGUCUGAGAGGAUGAUCAGCCACACUGGGACUGAGACACGGCCCAGACUCCUACGGGAGGCAGCAGUGGGGAAUAUUGGACAAUGGGCGCAAGCCUGAUCCAGCCAUGCCGCGUGUGUGAAGAAGGCAUUCGGGUUGUAAAGCACUUUUGUCCGGAAAGAAAUCCCUGGAGCUAAUACCUUCGGGGGAUGACGGUACCGGAAGAAUAAGCACCGGCUAACUUCGUG
This 484-nucleotide ribosomal RNA is filed under the name uncultured bacterium. RNAcentral describes it as "partial 16S ribosomal RNA". It matches the Rfam family "Bacterial small subunit ribosomal RNA", at positions 29 to 507 of the family's 1533-position model. The record is from RNAcentral.